UACAGAGGUCUCAACCGUUGUUCGGAUUCAUUGGGCGUAAAGGGCGCGUAGGCGGUCGCGCAAGUCGGAUGUGAAAUCUCAGGGCUCAACCCUGGAACUGCAUUCGAUACUGCGUGGCUAGAGUGCUGGAGAGGAGACUGGAAUUUACGGUGUAGCAGUGAAAUGCGUAGAUAUCGUAAGGAAGACCAGUGGCGAAGGCGAGUCUCUGGACAGCAACUGACGCUGAGGCACGAAGGCCAGGGGAGCAAACGGG
Molecule: ribosomal RNA, 253 nt
Filed under: uncultured bacterium
Lineage: Bacteria
Description: partial 16S ribosomal RNA
Rfam family: Bacterial small subunit ribosomal RNA
Source: RNAcentral